UACUGAGUGGCAAACGGGUGAGUAUAAUGUGGGUAUCUGCCUUUUGGUCUGGAAUAACACGGGGAAACUUGUGCUAAUACCGGAUAAGCCUUUACAGGGAAAGUUUUAAUGCCAAAAGAUGAGCCCGCACUUGAUUAGCUAGUUGGUAAGGUAAAAGCUUACCAAGGCAACGAUCAAUAGCUGUUCUUAGAGGAAGACCAGCCACAUUGGGACUGAGACACGGCCCAAACUCCUACGGGAGGCAGCAGUAGGGAAUCUUGCACAAUGGGGGAAACCCUGAUGCAGCGAUGCCGCGUGAGUGAAGAAGGCCUUUGGGUUGUAAAACUCUUUCGUCGGGGAAGAAAAUGACUGUACCCGAAUAAGAAGGUCCGGCUAACUUCGUGCCAGCAGCCGCGGUAAUACGAAGGGACCUAGCGUAGUUCGGAAUUACUGGGCUUAAAGAGCUCGUAGGUGGUUAAAAAAGUUGAUGGUGAAAUCCCAAGGCUUAACCUUGGAACUGCCAUCAAAACUUUUUAGCUAGAGUAUGAUA
RNAcentral lists this ribosomal RNA (529 nucleotides) under uncultured Pelagibacterales bacterium. RNAcentral's name for it is "bacterial SSU rRNA". It matches the Rfam family "Bacterial small subunit ribosomal RNA", at positions 89 to 653 of the family's 1533-position model. Lineage: Bacteria; Pseudomonadati; Pseudomonadota; Alphaproteobacteria; Candidatus Pelagibacterales. The record is from RNAcentral.